UGCAGUCGAGCGGACUGAUGUGGAGCUUGCUCCAUGGAUGUCAGCGGCGGACGCGUGAGUAACACGUGGGUAACCUGCCUGGCAGACUGGGAUAACGCUUGGAAACGAGUGCUAAUACCGGAUGAUCUCUUGGACUGCAUGGUUCGAGAGUAAAAGGAGCUUUUGCUUCACUGCCAGAUGGACCCGCGGCGCAUUAGCUAGUUGGUGAGGUAACGGCUCACCAAGGCGACGAUGCGUAGCCNACCUGAGAGGGUGACCGGCCACACUGGGACUGANACACGGCCCAGACUCCUACGGGAGGCAGCAGUAGGGAAUCUUCCGCAAUGGGCGCAAGCCUGACGGAGCAACGCCGCGUGAGUGAUGAAGGCCUUCGGGUUGUAAAACUCUGUCUUCUGUGAAGAACCAUCCUGUGCAGAGAAAGCUCANGACCUGACGGUAACAGAGGAGGAAGCCCCGGCUAACUACGUGCCAGCAGCCGCGGUAAUACGUAGGGGGCAAGCGUUGUCCGGAUUCACUGGGCGUAAAGCGCGCGCAGGCGGUCUCUCACGUCCGGGGUGAAAGCCCAGAGCUCAACUCUGGGAUUGCCUUGGAUACGGGGAGACUUGAGGAUCGGAGAGGCAAGGGGAAUUCCACGUGUAGCGGUGAAAUGCGUAGAGAUGUGGAGGAACACCUGUGGCGAAGGCGCCUUGCUGGCCGAUUUCUGACGCUGAGGCGCGAAAGCGUGGGGAGCAAACAGGAUUAGAUACCCUGGUAGUCCACGCCGUAAACGAUGAGUGCUAGGUGUUAGGGGGCCCACCCCUUAGUGCCGAAGCUAACGCAUUAAGCACUCCGCCUGGGGAGUACGGUCGCAAGACUGAAACUCAAAGGAAUUGACGGGGGCCCGCACAAGCAGUGGAGCAUGUGGUUUAAUUCGAAGCAACGCGAAGAACCU
RNAcentral lists this ribosomal RNA (931 nucleotides) under uncultured bacterium. RNAcentral describes it as "bacterial SSU rRNA". It matches the Rfam family "Bacterial small subunit ribosomal RNA", at positions 56 to 971 of the family's 1533-position model. The record is from RNAcentral.